UGAGGAACAUGACUUUCGGCGGGGGAUAGCCGGCCCAACGGCCGGGUAAUACCGCGUACGACCUUUUGGGGACAUCCCCGAUUGGUGAAAGCAGCAAUGCGCCGAAAGAGUGCCACGCGGCCUAUCAGCUAGUUGGUGUGGGUAACGGCCCACUAAGGCGACGACGGGUAGCCGGCCUGAGAGGGUGACCGGCCACACUGGGACUGAGACACGGCCCAGACUCCUACGGGAGGCAG
Molecule: ribosomal RNA, 236 nt
Filed under: uncultured bacterium
Lineage: Bacteria
Description: partial 16S ribosomal RNA
Rfam family: Bacterial small subunit ribosomal RNA
Source: RNAcentral